GAUGAACGCUGGCGGCGUGCCUAAUACAUGCCAGUCGAGCGAACGGACGAGAAGCUUGCUUCUCUGAUGUUAGCGGCGGACGGGUGAGUAACACGUGGAUAACCUACCUAUAAGACUGGGAUAACUUCGGGAAACCGGAGCUAAUACCGGAUAAUAUUUUGAACCGCAUGGUUCAAAAGUGAAAGACGGUCUUGCUGUCACUUAUAGAUGGAUCCGCGCCGCAUUAGCUAGUUGGUAAGGUAACGGCUUACCAAGGCAACGAUGCAUAGCCGACCUGAGAGGGUGAUCGGCCACACUGGAACUGAGACACGGUCCAGACUCCUACGGGAGGCAGCAGUAGGGAAUCUUCCGCAAUGGGCGAAAGCCUGACGGAGCAACGCCGCGUGAGUGAUGAAGGUCUUCGGAUCGUAAAACUCUGUUAUUAGGGAAGAACAUGUGUGUAAGUAACUGUGCACAUCUUGACGGUACCUAAUCAGAAAGCCACGGCUAACUACGUG
Molecule: ribosomal RNA, 497 nt
Filed under: uncultured bacterium
Lineage: Bacteria
Description: partial 16S ribosomal RNA
Rfam family: Bacterial small subunit ribosomal RNA
Source: RNAcentral